CCUACGGGUGGCUGCAGUGGGGAAUAUUGCACAAUGGGGGAAACCCUGAUGCAGCGACGCCGCGUGAGUGAAGAAGUAAUUCGUUAUGUAAAGCUCCAUCAGCAGGGAAGAAAAGGACGGUACCUGAGUAAGAAGCCCCGGCUAACUACGUGCCAGCAGCCGCGGUUAUACGCAGGGGGCAAGCGUUAUCCGGAUUUAUUGGGUGUAAAGGGAGCGUAGACGGGAGGGCAAGUCCGGGGUGAAAGGCGGGGGCUCAACCCCCGAACUGCUCUGGAAACUGUACGGCUGGAGUGCAGGAGAGGUAGGUGGAAUUCCUGGUGUAGCGGUGAAAUGCGUAGAUAUUAGGAAGAACACCGGUGGCGAAGGCAGCUUACUGGACUGUAACUGACGUUGAGGCUCGAAAGCGUGGGGAGCAAACAGGAUUAGAUACCCUUGUAGUC
Molecule: ribosomal RNA, 440 nt
Filed under: uncultured bacterium
Lineage: Bacteria
Description: partial 16S ribosomal RNA
Rfam family: Bacterial small subunit ribosomal RNA
Source: RNAcentral